RNAcentral lists this ribosomal RNA (484 nucleotides) under uncultured bacterium. Its description in RNAcentral is "partial 16S ribosomal RNA". It matches the Rfam family "Bacterial small subunit ribosomal RNA", at positions 30 to 507 of the family's 1533-position model. The record is from RNAcentral.
AUUGAACGCUGGCGGCAUGCCUAACACAUGCAAGUCGAGCGGAUGAAGGGAGCUUGCUCCUGGAUUCAGCGGCGGACGGGUGAGUAAUGCCUAGGAAUCUGCCUGGUAGUGGGGGAUAACGUCCCGAAACGGGCGCUAAUACCGCAUACGUCCUGAGGGAGAAAGUGGGGGACCUUCGGACCUCACGCUAUCAGAUGAGCCUAUGUCGGAUUAGCUAGUUGGUGGGGUAAAGGCCUACCAAGGCGACGAUCCGUAACUGGUCUGAGAGGAUGAUCAGUCACACUGGAACUGAGACACGGUCCAGACUCCUACGGGAGGCAGCAGUGGGGAAUAUUGGACAAUGGGCGAAAGCCUGAUCCAGCAAUGCCGCGUGUGUGAAGAAGGUCUUCGGAUUGUAAAGCACUUUAAGUUGGGAGGAAGGGCAGUAAGUUAAUACCUCGCUGUUUUGACGUUACCAACAGAAUAAGCACCGGCUAACUUCGUG